UGCGUCCCAGCUGCUGGGUGCUAUUAGCGUGGCACUGCAGAGCUGCUCGCCCUGGGUGUCUCCUGCGGAGGGAGAAACAUGGCAGGCCUAGAAGAGCAAGGCUUCUGCAAACUCCGCCUUCACCCCAAAAACGAAAGUAUUGCAGAGAACACUCACUUGGCGUAUGUUUCCCUUAUAUUAUUUAGAUUAUUUGGAGGUUCAAUAUCAUCCCUAUACCAUUUGGACUUCUCUUAUCAAGAUAAUUGGAUGUAGAUGCUGCAUUUGGAUUCCGCAUUGAAUUUCCUGGUCUCCUUGCUUGACUUGUUAGACAAAAGCAGUAGGAAAAGUGUAUUAGAGCAUUGCCAACUGGACUUUGAUAUAAAAUUCUGUAAAAUGGGUCAUUUAUGAAAGCUAGUUUAUAUUUAAGAAAUACACCUGCCUUUUAAUAAAUCACAGGACUCUGUCCACUGGUUAAGA
Molecule: long non-coding RNA, 456 nt
Filed under: Cavia porcellus (domestic guinea pig)
Lineage: Eukaryota; Metazoa; Chordata; Mammalia; Rodentia; Caviidae
Description: lncRNA (ENSCPOG00000038073.1)
Source: RNAcentral